AGAGAUGUUGGAGAAAUCAGAUAAUCCUCAUACAGUGUAUAUUACUGCAGGAGAUCCAGGACAAACUAAUGUUACCAUCCACACCACACACAACGACGCCCCUAUUAAUCAGAGUUCAUCACUCACAGAGAAGAGCAAGCCAGAUGCACCAGUCACUAUCUACUGUGCCAUUCAGCAGCAACCAAAACCCCCCAAAACUGAAGCUGAAAACACUAUUUAUGCUGUGGUCAGUAAACAGCCAGCCGGGUAUGAAUCUGCACAUCCACAAUCAGAAUAAAAGUGAGCUUCUUAUAAAGCUGAACCCUUACAGUGAUUCAAAGUAAUAAAGGACUUCAUAUGUUCAGGAAGGCAGUGUUAUUCUCAGUGUAAAUAAGCAGAAUAUUUACCAUGUGCAAUGUGCUCCCAUUGUAGCUGAUUUAGGGUGUUAAAGAUAUUUGUAUAUGUAAAUUCUGUCUUUUUAAAAGCAACAGUAAAUUUUUUAUUUAUUUUUUUAUUGUAAAAUUGUUGUACAUGUGGCUCAGACAGGAAUGCAAAAUCACAUGCAUGUGGUUUCUAUAGAUUUCUGUUAGAGAUUCCUCACCGCCUUUGCAGGCAACACCUGUAAACCACUUCCUGGAAAGUAUUUGUCAAACUAUAGGAGUUAUUUUGAAAGGUCACAGGGGGCGUACAUUUACCCAUUCACCCCCAUCCCUCUGGAAACACACAGUUCCGUAUACAAAAAGUAAUGAAUAUGUAAUCAGAAAUGUACUGUACAAAGCCACUUUGCACUAAAGGAAGUAAAAACUUACUGGGCUCAAGUUCAUGUAGUAUGUCAGUAACUGAUCAGGCAUCUGUGUUGACAGCAUCAGUGAUUAUAAUAGUAUAAUUUGCUUUUGAUGUGCCACUCAUGUCUGGUGUAACCAGGUAAAGCAACAGUAAAUGUAUUUUUUUUAUUGUAAAAUUGUUGUACAUGUGGCUCAGACAGGAAUGCAAAAUCACAUGCAUGUGGUUUCUAUAGAUUUCUGUUAGAGAUUCCUCACCG
Molecule: long non-coding RNA, 1021 nt
Filed under: Sinocyclocheilus grahami
Lineage: Eukaryota; Metazoa; Chordata; Actinopteri; Cypriniformes; Cyprinidae
Description: lncRNA (ENSSGRG00000052088.1)
Source: RNAcentral